CCGGCGGGCACGAGCCCGUACGGACACUGACACCGGUACCUGAUACGGCCGGUGCAG
Molecule: non-coding RNA, 57 nt
Organism: Streptomyces fradiae
Lineage: Bacteria; Bacillati; Actinomycetota; Actinomycetes; Kitasatosporales; Streptomycetaceae
Source: Rfam